RNAcentral lists this ribosomal RNA (520 nucleotides) under uncultured Archaeospora. RNAcentral's name for it is "SSU rRNA". It matches the Rfam family "Eukaryotic small subunit ribosomal RNA", at positions 569 to 1093 of the family's 1831-position model. The record is from RNAcentral. Lineage: Eukaryota; Fungi; Glomeromycota; Glomeromycetes; Archaeosporales; Archaeosporaceae.
AGCAGCCGCGGUAAUUCCAGCUCCAAUAGCGUAUAUUAAAGUUGUUGCAGUUAAAAAGCUCGUAGUUGGAUUUUAGGCCUGGCCGGGCGGUCCGUCUUUGGCGAGUACUGUCUGUUGUCGGGUCUUCCUUCUGGUGAACCAAUAUGUCCUUUAUCGGGUGUGCUGGGGAGCCAGGACCAUUACCUUGAAAAAAUUAGAGUGUUUAAAGCAGGCUUUUGCUUGAAUAGAUUAGCAUGGAAUAAUAGAAUAGGACGUUGUGGUUCUAUUUUGUUGGUUUCUAGGACCACCGUAAUGAUUAAUAGGGAUAGUUGGGGGCAUUAGUAUUCAAUUGUCAGAGGUGAAAUUCUUGGAUUUAUUGAAGACUAACUAUUGCGAAAGCAUUUGCCAAGGAUGUUUUCAUUAAUCAAGAACGAAAGUUAGGGGAUCGAAGACGAUCAGAUACCGUCGUAGUCUUAACCAUAAACUAUGCCGACUAGGAAUCGGGCGACGUUAUUUUAAUGACUCGCUCGGCGCCUUAUGG